CAGUACCAUAUCUCCUCACUGUAGAUUUGUUAUUAACCAUUGAAGACCCUUUGCCAGAGUCACUCAGACCUAAAAGAAGUUUCCAUUGCAAUAAUUGUUUAGAUGGAAGUAUCUCAUAAACCUUCUAUGAAAUAACUGCCCUCAAUGUUGCUAUUGUGCAAGAUCCAACAAAGAAAUCACUACCGAUUGUUUAUUGUUGGACAGAUAUAAAGACAAU
Molecule: long non-coding RNA, 217 nt
Filed under: Capsicum annuum
Lineage: Eukaryota; Viridiplantae; Streptophyta; Magnoliopsida; Solanales; Solanaceae
Description: long non-coding RNA (CANN_LNC009582)
Source: RNAcentral